AUGAGAUGGAGCUGUUUUAUCUUCUUCUUGGUGGCAGUAAUUACAUGUGCCAACUCCCAGGUCCAGCUACAGCAGUCUGGAGCUGAGCUGGUGAGGCCUGGGGCAUCAGUGAGGAUAUCCUGCAAGGCUUCGGGCUAUAAGUUCACCGACCACAUUAUGAAUUGGGUAAAACAGAGGCCAGGACAGGGCUUUGAGUGGAUUGGAAGGAUUUAUCCUGUAAAUGGUGACGCUAACUACAAUCCAAAGUUUAUGGGAAAGGCCAAAUUUACUGUAGACCAGUCCUCCAGCACAACAUACAUGGAGCUCAGCAGCCUGACAUCUGAGGACCCUGCUGUCUAUUACUGUGGAAGGCACAGUGUUGCAACCACAUCUUGA
This is a non-coding RNA of Arvicanthis niloticus (Nile rat), 375 nucleotides long. The record is from the annotation of a RefSeq genome assembly. Lineage: Eukaryota; Metazoa; Chordata; Mammalia; Rodentia; Muridae.